UGUGCACAGAACAAGAGGGAAAGAGCUAGGGAAGAAGGAGAACAUAAGAGGGCAGCAGAGAGCAACUAAAGAGAAGCUGGAAGACUGGAAAUACCACAAUGUUAAAUUACUGGGACUAUAAAACAAGGAGAAAAGCAAGACUGAAUACUGAAAAGAAAAACAUAACAGAAACCUGACAACCUGCCUGCAAAACCUCCUCCUCAGUCUCCAUCUGCAGUGGAUAAACCUGCGUAAAGCAAGGCCAACAGUCUCCUGCAUUCCUUCCGUCCUGCUCUGCUCUGUUAUGAGCUUCGUAGAGCUCGAGGAGAGUAUCUGCGAGAGGAUUGAGAUCAAGUGUUAUUAAAAAGGGACGUAAAGGACCUGCAAACCAAACUAAAAGUCAUUCAUCCUUUGAAUGGUGUUUGGAAAGUGCCCUGUUGCUCAUCAAUCAACUAGCUGUUUCCACCAUCAAAAAGGGUUGGGGAACGAGCGGCUGAGAUCUCAGGAGAGCUGUGCGUAAGUAAAAUGGCGGCAUACACGUAGUUCAUAUCAAAUCCACUGAGGUAAGUACAAGCCAAUAAUUGAAAAUUAAACAAAGUAAGGUUUAAACAUUAACAAUUGUCUCGUAUUUUACGAGGAAACAAACUGGACAAGGAGACCUUGACGAACCUGUAGAGCUAGCUGGACAGGAGCUACAGCGACGUCCAGAAAUCCAUCAACCAAAAGGUAACCAGCCUGGAUGCCUGUCUCGCCUUGUUAGAAGUCCUACAUAAAGAGGUUCAAGCCCUGAGAGAGUCGGAGGAAUACAGCCAAGGGCAUCUAGUCUCUAUUACCGCCACGAACAAAGCGCUGAGGGGGGAAGUCAUGAAGCUCACCGAGGGGAUGAUCCAACUGCAUUCCGGAGCAGCAGGAGGAGGAUCCCGAGGUGACAAUCCCAGAGUUCCUCCAGAAGAAGCUGGAAAUCCUGGCGGAUCAGCUGCUAAUAUCAGAGAAGACUUAUUAUCUUCACUUUCCCGUGAAGACAUCAAAGAUUUGUUUCCUGGUCCUGAAAAUGUCUUGAGGCGCCAGGCUAUUUGGCUUAUUGUGAAUAAAGACCAAAAGGUAGAUAACGCUCCAGAAAUUCAGCAGUCAUCCCCGACUGGAGGCAGCGACCUAUCAAAAGAGGAGGCCACUCCUUCUAAAUUUGUGACUAUGUCCAACCCAGAAUACAGUCUUCACAGAUAGUGAGCUUGAACAUGUGCGAUGCUCCUACUUCGAGCAGAAACGGCUAGUAACCGAGCACAGCGUGGCCUUAUCCAAGGAGCUCUUCUGCCGACUCAUAAGAAACACUAUGACUAAUAUGAUUUCUAUUGCGAGAGCCACAGAGGACUGCAGAUACCCCGCCAAACAUGAGGUGGAUGCCAUGGCAAAACGAUUGGUGGAUUACUAUCCAAUGAUCAAAGAUAGGUCUACAAAGAGUGAGUGGGAGCAUGUUGCUAAAAAGCUCAUGAAGAGACUCUCAAAUGUCAGAAGUCCAAGGAAGGACAAAGUUCCUCCUUCGAAGAAACAUCGAAAAGAUGUGGAACUGGUUCACUUGACUUCAUGGACAGCCUAAAAACCCAAGCAAGACACUACAAGACCCUCCAAGAAAUGUUCAAGUCCAAAAAAUACAAACAAAGCUGCAAUAACUCAUUUGCUGACCAAGGAAUUUGAGUCUCGAAGACGCUUCAUCACUUCUGAGGUCUUAAAGAAGCAAGACCUCUUAAAGGGGCAAGAAAGACCAACAAAGAUUCUAGAGGCGUUCCCCUGUUUCCAAGAACUGGAUCACGUGCUGGAUGAGCUACAGCGAAUCAUCCAACCAAACAACUCCAAGUACAUCUCUGAGAUGAAGAGCAGAUGGAAAACCUUCUAUUCAAAGGUCCAGUUUUAUGGGGUGAUGAAAAAAGAAAUGAAGCCUCCUAAAACUUUGAAUGGAGUGGAUCAUGUCACAGCUGUGUUCCAAGCCCUGCCAAUCCUCUUCCCGUCCAGCAUCCCGCCACCUAAG
This is a long non-coding RNA of Cyprinodon tularosa, 2002 nucleotides long. RefSeq lists it as uncharacterized. The record is from RefSeq and is a predicted model, not a curated record. The transcript has 11 exons. Lineage: Eukaryota; Metazoa; Chordata; Actinopteri; Cyprinodontiformes; Cyprinodontidae.